UAUAUACACAACAUCCACUACAAACAUUUUGCAAUCACUACACUAACACACACUCUUCAUUCACUACACUGACACACACUCUGUAUUUACUACACUAAGACAGAAGUUGUAUUCAUUACACCGACACACACUCUUCAUUCACUACACUGACACACACUAUGCAUUCACUACACUAACACACACUCUUCAUUCACUACACUGCCACACACUCUGUAUUUACU
This is a non-coding RNA of Pelobates cultripes (western spadefoot toad), 221 nucleotides long. NCBI's taxonomy places the organism in Eukaryota, Metazoa, Chordata, Amphibia, Anura, Pelobatidae. The record is from the annotation of a GenBank genome assembly.